RNAcentral lists this ribosomal RNA (1540 nucleotides) under Salmonella enterica. RNAcentral's name for it is "bacterial SSU rRNA". It matches the Rfam family "Bacterial small subunit ribosomal RNA". Lineage: Bacteria; Pseudomonadati; Pseudomonadota; Gammaproteobacteria; Enterobacterales; Enterobacteriaceae. The record is from RNAcentral.
AAAUUGAAGAGUUUGAUCAUGGCUCAGAUUGAACGCUGGCGGCAGGCCUAACACAUGCAAGUCGAACGGUAGCACAGAGAGCUUGCUCUCGGGUGACGAGUGGCGGACGGGUGAGUAAUGUCUGGGAAACUGCCUGAUGGAGGGGGAUAACUACUGGAAACGGUGGCUAAUACCGCAUAAUGUCGCAAGACCAAAGAGGGGGACCUUCGGGCCUCUUGCCAUCAGAUGUGCCCAGAUGGGAUUAGCUAGUUGGUGAGGUAACGGCUCACCAAGGCGACGAUCCCUAGCUGGUCUGAGAGGAUGACCAGCCACACUGGAACUGAGACACGGUCCAGACUCCUACGGGAGGCAGCAGUGGGGAAUAUUGCACAAUGGGCGCAAGCCUGAUGCAGCCAUGCCGCGUGUAUGAAGAAGGCCUUCGGGUUGUAAAGUACUUUCAGCGGGGAGGAAGGUGUUGUGGUUAAUAACCUCAGCAAUUGACGUUACCCGCAGAAGAAGCACCGGCUAACUCCGUGCCAGCAGCCGCGGUAAUACGGAGGGUGCAAGCGUUAAUCGGAAUUACUGGGCGUAAAGCGCACGCAGGCGGUCUGUCAAGUCGGAUGUGAAAUCCCCGGGCUCAACCUGGGAACUGCAUUCGAAACUGGCAGGCUUGAGUCUUGUAGAGGGGGGUAGAAUUCCAGGUGUAGCGGUGAAAUGCGUAGAGAUCUGGAGGAAUACCGGUGGCGAAGGCGGCCCCCUGGACAAAGACUGACGCUCAGGUGCGAAAGCGUGGGGAGCAAACAGGAUUAGAUACCCUGGUAGUCCACGCCGUAAACGAUGUCUACUUGGAGGUUGUGCCCUUGAGGCGUGGCUUCCGGAGCUAACGCGUUAAGUAGACCGCCUGGGGAGUACGGCCGCAAGGUUAAAACUCAAAUGAAUUGACGGGGGCCCGCACAAGCGGUGGAGCAUGUGGUUUAAUUCGAUGCAACGCGAAGAACCUUACCUGGUCUUGACAUCCACAGAACUUUCCAGAGAUGGAUUGGUGCCUUCGGGAACUGUGAGACAGGUGCUGCAUGGCUGUCGUCAGCUCGUGUUGUGAAAUGUUGGGUUAAGUCCCGCAACGAGCGCAACCCUUAUCCUUUGUUGCCAGCGGUUAGGCCGGGAACUCAAAGGAGACUGCCAGUGAUAAACUGGAGGAAGGUGGGGAUGACGUCAAGUCAUCAUGGCCCUUACGACCAGGGCUACACACGUGCUACAAUGGCGCAUACAAAGAGAAGCGACCUCGCGAGAGCAAGCGGACCUCAUAAAGUGCGUCGUAGUCCGGAUUGGAGUCUGCAACUCGACUCCAUGAAGUCGGAAUCGCUAGUAAUCGUGGAUCAGAAUGCCACGGUGAAUACGUUCCCGGGCCUUGUACACACCGCCCGUCACACCAUGGGAGUGGGUUGCAAAAGAAGUAGGUAGCUUAACCUUCGGGAGGGCGCUUACCACUUUGUGAUUCAUGACUGGGGUGAAGUCGUAACAAGGUAACCGUAGGGGAACCUGCGGUUGGAUCACCUCCUUA